CCUACGGGAGGCAGCAGUGGGGAAUAUUGCACAAUGGGCGAAACCCUGAUGCAGCAACGCCGCGUGUAGGAAGACGGUUUUCGGAUUGUAAACUACUGUUCUUAGUGAAGAAUAAUGAAGGUUGAUAAGGAGCAAGCCACGGCUAACUACGCGCAAGCAGCCGCGGUAAUACGUAGGCGGCAAGCGUUGUUCGGAAUGACUGGGUGUAAAGGGAGCGCAGGCGGGAAGCCAAGUCAGCUGUGAAAACUACGGGCUUAACUUGUGGACUGCAGUUGAUACUGGUUUUCUUGAGUGAAGUAGAGGUUGGCGGAAUUCCGGGUGUAGCGGUGAAAUGCGUAGAUAUUCGGAGGAACACCGGUGGCGAAGGCGGCCCACUGGGCUUUAACUGACGCUGAGGCUCGAAAGUGUGGGGAGCAAACAGGAUUAGAUACCCGAGUAGUC
Molecule: ribosomal RNA, 441 nt
Filed under: uncultured bacterium
Lineage: Bacteria
Description: partial 16S ribosomal RNA
Rfam family: Bacterial small subunit ribosomal RNA
Source: RNAcentral